This 250-nucleotide ribosomal RNA is filed under the name uncultured bacterium. Its description in RNAcentral is "partial 16S ribosomal RNA". It matches the Rfam family "Bacterial small subunit ribosomal RNA", at positions 524 to 776 of the family's 1533-position model. The record is from RNAcentral.
GACAGAGGGUGCAAACGUUGCUCGGAAUCACUGGGCGUAAAGGGCGUGUAGGCGGGAUGGCAAGUCGGGCGUGAAAUCCCUGGGCUCAACCCAGGAACUGCACUCGAAACUGCUGUUCUUGAGUAUCGGAGAGGAAAGCGGAAUACCUGGUGUAGAGGUGAAAUUCGUAGAUAUCAGGUGGAACACCAGUGGCGAGGCGGCUUACUGGACGAUCUGACGCUGAGGCACGAAAGCGUGGGGAGCAAACAGG